UGGGGAAUAUUGCACAAUGGGCGCAAGCCUGAUGCAGCGACGCCGCGUGAGGGAUGGAGGCCUUCGGGUUGUAAACCUCUUUCGCCAGUGAAGCUGGCCAUCUUCUUUGUGGGGUGGUUGACGGUAGCUGGAUAAGAAGCGCCGGCUAACUACGUGCCAGCAGCCGCGGUAAUACGUAGGGCGCGAGCGUUGUCCGGAAUUAUUGGGCGUAAAGAGCUCGUAGGCGGCUGGUCGCGUCUUUCGUGAAAUCCCCUGGCUUAACUGGGGGCUUGCGGUGGGUACGGGACGGCUGGAGUGCAGUAGGGGGGGCUGGAAUUCCUGGUGUAGCGGUGGAAUGCGCAGAUAUCAGGAAGAACACCGGUGGCGAAGGCGGGUCUCUGGGCCGUUACUGACGCUGAGGAGCGAAAGCGUGGGGAGCGAACAGG
This 425-nucleotide ribosomal RNA is filed under the name bacterium. RNAcentral describes it as "partial 16S ribosomal RNA". It matches the Rfam family "Bacterial small subunit ribosomal RNA", at positions 355 to 776 of the family's 1533-position model. The record is from RNAcentral.